UACGGAGUGUGCAAGCGUUACUCGGAAUCACUGGGCAUAAAGCGUGCGUAGGCGGGUUUUCAAGUCGGUUGUGAAAUCCCUCAGCUCAACUGAGGAACUGCAUCCGAUACUGUCUGUCUUGAGGACGGGAGGGGAGAGUGGAACUUCUGGUGGAGCGGUGAAAUGCGUAGAUAUCAGAAGGAACGCCGGUGGCGAAAGCGACUCUCUGGCCCGUAUCUGACGCUGAGGCACGAAAGCUUGGGUAGCAAACGGGAUUAGAA
Molecule: ribosomal RNA, 260 nt
Filed under: uncultured bacterium
Lineage: Bacteria
Description: partial 16S ribosomal RNA
Rfam family: Bacterial small subunit ribosomal RNA
Source: RNAcentral